GGUGACUUGUUCCUAUAACCAUUGCGGGUCGGCCUACCAAGCACGAUCGUUACGGCCUGAGAGGCGUAUCGCCCACACUGGAACUGAGAGACGGUCCAGAUUCGUACGGGAGGCAGCAGUGGGGAAUAUUGGGCAAUGGGCGAAAGCCUGACCCAUCAACGCCGCGUGAGGAAGAAGGUCUUCGGAUUGUAAACCUCUGUCCUUGGUGACGUGACGGUAGCCAAGGAGGAAGCCCCGGCUAACUACGUGCCAGCAGCCGCGGUAAUACGGAGGGGGCAAGCGUUGUCCGGAUUUACUGGGCGUAAAGAGCGCGUAGGUGGCCUGUUAAGUCGGCUGUGAAAUCGCUGGGCUCAACCCAGCUGGGUCAGUCGAUACUGGUAGGCUCGAGUCCGGGAGAGGGAAGCGGAAUUGCUGGUGUAGCGGUGGAAUGCGUAGAU
Molecule: ribosomal RNA, 437 nt
Filed under: uncultured bacterium
Lineage: Bacteria
Description: bacterial SSU rRNA
Rfam family: Bacterial small subunit ribosomal RNA
Source: RNAcentral